UUGAUAAAAAUAAAUAAAUAAAUAAAUAAAACGACAGAAAGUAAGGCUUACACAUACACACAAAGUAUACAUGGUUGAUUGUUAAGAAAUGUUCUCAUGCAUCCAUUUGACAGACCUGGAGCAGUUCCUGUCUGCUGCUAAGGUUUCCACUAGAGAUGCAAGAAAAAAGUCCUCGCGCUUUCUGUCUGUCUCAAUGUGGCAGUCAAGAUUGAAUGGGGGAGUACAGGCUAAAAGGGGGGAAAUUUCUGCAACUCACAUAAACCUUGUCAACAAUGAAGAUCUUGGUUUACUCCAAAGUGUCUAAAAUUGGAGUUUAGGGAAAGUGUUCGAAAAGAAUUUCCCAGACCCUUGCCUUUUGAUUAAUUUCACUUUUAAAAACUUAAGGGUUAAAAGUAAAUUAAAUGCAAGCCAGUAAAGGGGGAAGAAAAAGCUUUCACUUCAUGCACACGUGCGUGCGCACGCGCGCGCGUGCACACACACAUCCAUCCAGUAAUGGAAAUUUAGCUGUAAGAUCUAUUUACGAGUCAAGGCAAAAACAUGUCUGAGUAAAGAAACUAAAAUUGUGCUCUUCCAUUUUCCAGAGCUGUGCUUAGUUGUAUUUUACUUCUGGCGAGAGAUGUAAUUAAUAACAUGAACAGCCCACAGCUUAGUGUCUGACUUCCAGUAGGCUUUUGAUAAAUUUGUUGAAUAACUGAAUGAAUGCACACGUGAUCCGUAACUAUUAGAAAAUGGUGGGUUCUUAAAGCUUCAUAGGUGGAUGUUAAAUCAAAUGGCCAAAUCAUGGAACGAAAUAAAUAGGUACACUUUACUAGGUUAAUUUAAAAGUGAUGACAAGUGGGACCCGUGUGUGGCUCAGUUGCUUAAGCGUCUGCCUUUGGCUCAGGUCAUGACCCCGGAAUCGGGGGAUAGAACCCUGUCUCAGGAGAAGCCUGCUUCUCCCUGCC
This is a long non-coding RNA of Mustela erminea (ermine), 944 nucleotides long. RefSeq lists it as uncharacterized. The transcript has 3 exons. NCBI's taxonomy places the organism in Eukaryota, Metazoa, Chordata, Mammalia, Carnivora, Mustelidae. The record is from RefSeq and is a predicted model, not a curated record.